RNAcentral lists this ribosomal RNA (1185 nucleotides) under Kluyvera ascorbata. RNAcentral's name for it is "bacterial LSU rRNA". It matches the Rfam family "Bacterial large subunit ribosomal RNA", at positions 1761 to 2925 of the family's 2925-position model. Lineage: Bacteria; Pseudomonadati; Pseudomonadota; Gammaproteobacteria; Enterobacterales; Enterobacteriaceae. The record is from RNAcentral.
CAUGGAGCUGAAAUCAGUCGAAGAUACCAGCUGGCUGCAACUGUUUAUUAAAAACACAGCACUGUGCAAACACGAAAGUGGACGUAUACGGUGUGACGCCUGCCCGGUGCCGGAAGGUUAAUUGAUGGGGUUAGCGGCAACGCGAAGCUCUUGAUCGAAGCCCCGGUAAACGGCGGCCGUAACUAUAACGGUCCUAAGGUAGCGAAAUUCCUUGUCGGGUAAGUUCCGACCUGCACGAAUGGCGUAAUGAUGGCCAGGCUGUCUCCACCCGAGACUCAGUGAAAUUGAACUCGCUGUGAAGAUGCAGUGUACCCGCGGCAAGACGGAAAGACCCCGUGAACCUUUACUAUAGCUUGACACUGAACACUGGUCCUUGAUGUGUAGGAUAGGUGGGAGGCUUUGAAGUGUGGACGCCAGUUCGCAUGGAGCCAACCUUGAAAUACCACCCUUUAAUGGCUGGUGUUCUAACGUAGACCCGUAAUCCGGGUUGCGGACAGUGUCUGGUGGGUAGUUUGACUGGGGCGGUCUCCUCCUAAAGAGUAACGGAGGAGCACGAAGGUUAGCUAAUCCUGGUCGGACAUCAGGAGGUUAGUGCAAAGGCAUAAGCUAGCUUGACUGCGAGAGUGACGGCUCGAGCAGGUGCGAAAGCAGGUCUUAGUGAUCCGGUGGUUCUGUAUGGAAGGGCCAUCGCUCAACGGAUAAAAGGUACUCCGGGGAUAACAGGCUGAUACCGCCCAAGAGUUCAUAUCGACGGCGGUGUUUGGCACCUCGAUGUCGGCUCAUCACAUCCUGGGGCUGAAGUAGGUCCCAAGGGUAUGGCUGUUCGCCAUUUAAAGUGGUACGCGAGCUGGGUUUAGAACGUCGUGAGACAGUUCGGUCCCUAUCUGCCGUGGGCGCUGGAGAAUUGAGGGGGGCUGCUCCUAGUACGAGAGGACCGGAGUGGACGCAUCACUGGUGUUCGGGUUGUCAUGCCAAUGGCAUUGCCCGGUAGCUAAAUGCGGAAAAGAUAAGUGCUGAAAGCAUCUAAGCACGAAACUUGCCCCAAGAUGAGUUCUCCCUGACUCUUUAAGAGUCCUGAAGGAACGUUGAAGACGACGACGUUGAUAGGCUGGGUGUGUAAGUGUAGCGAUACAUUGAGCUAACCAGUACUAAUGAACCGUGAGGCUUAACCUUACAACGCCGAAG